RNAcentral lists this ribosomal RNA (3025 nucleotides) under Staphylococcus aureus. RNAcentral describes it as "23S ribosomal RNA". It matches the Rfam family "Bacterial large subunit ribosomal RNA". The record is from RNAcentral. Lineage: Bacteria; Bacillati; Bacillota; Bacilli; Caryophanales; Staphylococcaceae.
AGAUUAAGUUAUUAAGGGCGCACGGUGGAUGCCUUGGCACUAGAAGCCGAUGAAGGACGUUACUAACGACGAUAUGCUUUGGGGAGCUGUAAGUAAGCUUUGAUCCAGAGAUUUCCGAAUGGGGAAACCCAGCAUGAGUUAUGUCAUGUUAUCGAUAUGUGAAUACAUAGCAUAUCAGAAGGCACACCCGGAGAACUGAAACAUCUUAGUACCCGGAGGAAGAGAAAGAAAAUUCGAUUCCCUUAGUAGCGGCGAGCGAAACGGGAAGAGCCCAAACCAACAAGCUUGCUUGUUGGGGUUGUAGGACACUCUAUACGGAGUUACAAAGGACGACAUUAGACGAAUCAUCUGGAAAGAUGAAUCAAAGAAGGUAAUAAUCCUGUAGUCGAAAAUGUUGUCUCUCUUGAGUGGAUCCUGAGUACGACGGAGCACGUGAAAUUCCGUCGGAAUCUGGGAGGACCAUCUCCUAAGGCUAAAUACUCUCUAGUGACCGAUAGUGAACCAGUACCGUGAGGGAAAGGUGAAAAGCACCCCGGAAGGGGAGUGAAAUAGAACCUGAAACCGUGUGCUUACAAGUAGUCAGAGCCCGUUAAUGGGUGAUGGCGUGCCUUUUGUAGAAUGAACCGGCGAGUUACGAUUUGAUGCAAGGUUAAGCAGUAAAUGUGGAGCCGUAGCGAAAGCGAGUCUGAAUAGGGCGUUUAGUAUUUGGUCGUAGACCCGAAACCAGGUGAUCUACCCUUGGUCAGGUUGAAGUUCAGGUAACACUGAAUGGAGGACCGAACCGACUUACGUUGAAAAGUGAGCGGAUGAACUGAGGGUAGCGGAGAAAUUCCAAUCGAACCUGGAGAUAGCUGGUUCUCUCCGAAAUAGCUUUAGGGCUAGCCUCAAGUGAUGAUUAUUGGAGGUAGAGCACUGUUUGGACGAGGGGCCCCUCUCGGGUUACCGAAUUCAGACAAACUCCGAAUGCCAAUUAAUUUAACUUGGGAGUCAGAACAUGGGUGAUAAGGUCCGUGUUCGAAAGGGAAACAGCCCAGACCACCAGCUAAGGUCCCAAAAUAUAUGUUAAGUGGAAAAGGAUGUGGCGUUGCCCAGACAACUAGGAUGUUGGCUUAGAAGCAGCCAUCAUUUAAAGAGUGCGUAAUAGCUCACUAGUCGAGUGACACUGCGCCGAAAAUGUACCGGGGCUAAACAUAUUACCGAAGCUGUGGAUUGUCCUUUGGACAAUGGUAGGAGAGCGUUCUAAGGGCGUUGAAGCAUGAUCGUAAGAACAUNNNNNNNNNNNNNNNNNNNNNNNNNNNNNNNNNNNNNNNNNNNNNNNNNNNNNNNNNNNNNNNNNNNNNNNNNNNNNNNNNNNNNNNNCGUAAGAACAUGUGGAGCGCUUAGAAGUGAGAAUGCCGGUGUGAGUAGCGAAAGACGGGUGAGAAUCCCGUCCACCGAUUGACUAAGGUUUCCAGAGGAAGGCUCGUCCGCUCUGGGUUAGUCGGGUCCUAAGCUGAGGCCGACAGGCGUAGGCGAUGGAUAACAGGUUGAUAUUCCUGUACCACCUAUAAUCGUUUUAAUCGAUGGGGGGACGCAGUAGGAUAGGCGAAGCGUGCGAUUGGAUUGCACGUCUAAGCAGUAAGGCUGAGUAUUAGGCAAAUCCGGUACUCGUUAAGGCUGAGCUGUGAUGGGGAGAAGACAUUGUGUCUUCGAGUCGUUGAUUUCACACUGCCGAGAAAAGCCUCUAGAUAGAAAAUAGGUGCCCGUACCGCAAACCGACACAGGUAGUCAAGAUGAGAAUUCUAAGGUGAGCGAGCGAACUCUCGUUAAGGAACUCGGCAAAAUGACCCCGUAACUUCGGGAGAAGGGGUGCUCUUUAGGGUUAACGCCCAGAAGAGCCGCAGUGAAUAGGCCCAAGCGACUGUUUAUCAAAAACACAGGUCUCUGCUAAACCGUAAGGUGAUGUAUAGGGGCUGACGCCUGCCCGGUGCUGGAAGGUUAAGAGGAGUGGUUAGCUUCUGCGAAGCUACGAAUCGAAGCCCCAGUAAACGGCGGCCGUAACUAUAACGGUCCUAAGGUAGCGAAAUUCCUUGUCGGGUAAGUUCCGACCCGCACGAAAGGCGUAACGAUUUGGGCACUGUCUCAACGAGAGACUCGGUGAAAUCAUAGUACCUGUGAAGAUGCAGGUUACCCGCGACAGGACGGAAAGACCCCGUGGAGCUUUACUGUAGCCUGAUAUUGAAAUUCGGCACAGCUUGUACAGGAUAGGUAGGAGCCUUUGAAACGUGAGCGCUAGCUUACGUGGAGGCGCUGGUGGGAUACUACCCUAGCUGUGUUGGCUUUCUAACCCGCACCACUUAUCGUGGUGGGAGACAGUGUCAGGCGGGCAGUUUGACUGGGGCGGUCGCCUCCUAAAAGGUAACGGAGGCGCUCAAAGGUUCCCUCAGAAUGGUUGGAAAUCAUUCAUAGAGUGUAAAGGCAUAAGGGAGCUUGACUGCGAGACCUACAAGUCGAGCAGGGUCGAAAGACGGACUUAGUGAUCCGGUGGUUCCGCAUGGAAGGGCCAUCGCUCAACGGAUAAAAGCUACCCCGGGGAUAACAGGCUUAUCUCCCCCAAGAGUUCACAUCGACGGGGAGGUUUGGCACCUCGAUGUCGGCUCAUCGCAUCCUGGGGCUGUAGUCGGUCCCAAGGGUUGGGCUGUUCGCCCAUUAAAGCGGUACGCGAGCUGGGUUCAGAACGUCGUGAGACAGUUCGGUCCCUAUCCGUCGUGGGCGUAGGAAAUUUGAGAGGAGCUGUCCUUAGUACGAGAGGACCGGGAUGGACAUACCUCUGGUGUACCAGUUGUCGUGCCAACGGCAUAGCUGGGUAGCUAUGUGUGGACGGGAUAAGUGCUGAAAGCAUCUAAGCAUGAAGCCCCCCUCAAGAUGAGAUUUCCCAACUUCGGUUAUAAGAUCCCUCAAAGAUGAUGAGGUUAAUAGGUUCGAGGUGGAAGCAUGGUGACAUGUGGAGCUGACGAAUACUAAUCGAUCGAAGACUUAAUCAAAA